RNAcentral lists this transfer RNA (67 nucleotides) under Synapturanus sp. MZUSP 159215. RNAcentral describes it as "tRNA-Met". The record is from RNAcentral. Lineage: Eukaryota; Metazoa; Chordata; Amphibia; Anura; Microhylidae.
GUAAGAUCAGCUAAUGAAGCUACUGGGCCCAUACCCCAAAAAUGUGAGUUAACCCCCACUCUCACUA